UCACAUUUUAGGACCGUUAACUCACAGGUUUUUUUUUUUUUGUUUUUUGUUUUUUUUUUUAAUCGUUUUCUGGACACCCCUCAGGUCCAGGUAAGGGGAGGAACCCGGUCCAGGCAGCCACAAGAGGAAGUUCUACCCCCUGUACAAACAGAGGCAGAGUAGGAUGAGGCAACCUAGUAAAAGCAAAGCUGGAAGCAGACUGCCUUGGUUCCAAUCCCAACUCUGCAGCUUACUUUGUGGUCUUGGGCAACCUCUGCAUGCCCCAGUUGUCUCAUGGGCAAGAUAAGAAUUAAAAAGUAAUAACUCACAGGACUGUUUUGAGUAGAUGGAUAAUUCACUAACAAAACUACACAGCACAUAGCUUGGAGGAUGCUCAGAGCUACUGAACACAAAUGGACUCUGAGGUGCCUUCAGCUCUGGGAGUCUGCAGUCUGCGUAUCCACUUGUUCUAGGUCCAUGCAUUAGUCAGCCUUGGGCAACUAAGUUGCCAAGAGGGACUCUGUGAGGAGAAGGUUCCGGGUCAUUACGAAACAGAUAAGCCAUGUGGCCUCUGGAAAUCGUGAUUCAUGUAAAACUUUUAUUUUGUUUGUCACAAUAAUUCUCUUUGUCCUCAUUUUUAUUUGUUUGAAUGAUUAUGGGUCAAAACAUUCUAAGCUGAAUUCCCACCCUGUUAUUCCAUAAAACUACAGAAAAUGAGAUGUUAGCAUUAGAAAAAGAUAAUUGUUACAUCACACAUGAUUUCAGAUGUUGGGCAGACUGCCAGCUGGAGCAGAUUAAUGAGGAAAAUCAAGAAUCAUCUCUGUGUCUUUGUCCUUGAGGCUAAAAAAGGCAAGAUAAGAAGAGAGGACGUUCUGUGAUGAAUAAGGGCAGCUGUGCUUUCCAACUCAUCCCGGGCCCCUCCUGCUGGGUCAGCUCUGGGUAUCAGAAGGAGGAGAACCUUUGAGGCCCUUGGGGGACUUGCAAGCCAAGGAGGCAGCAGGGAGUAUAAAUGGAGAUGAGACUCUGUCCACACUCUUUGCUGAUGGCCCUAGACUUCAAAAAGCAAACUGUGUCAUCAGCAGGGGAGGGGGAACUGAAAAAGGACAUUUUCCCAGAACUGCCAUCUGCAGUUCUUAGUGCAUAUGUUACGUACACAGACAUGGCGGCUCCCUCCUGCAUUGCCUUCCCUGUGGCCUCAGGUGGACCCCAGGUAUGCAAAUCAGGAUAAGGUGGUGGCCCAUCUGGGAAAUCUGAGACUUGGGAGCAGGAAGCAAAAACUUCAGUGAAAUGAAAUCUUACCUAAAAUUCAAUAGUGCUGUUUUUCCCUUCAGAAAUGAUUUAGGUAAACAGUUUGUGAUUUAAUUAUAAUGUCCUUACGAAAGCCUGUUUUGUCAUUUGCUGCCACCGCUAGGUAAGAACACUGGGAAAUCACAGUGUGUCAUUGUUAUUCUGGUCUUUGCCAUUGCUUCAGCAGUGGGAGUUAUGGGUUUGUCAGCAUUUCCAUUAUUGCCUCUUAUCCUCAAGACCUCUGUCUUAGUCACUGAAAAUUGCCUUGUACUGGAUGGAAGCCUAGAGGUAAUUUCCUUUAACAUUAUAGCAUCUGCAUUCUUUUAUGGUUGUCUGUGACUUCGCAAGUGAUUUAAAUAUCUUUUUAUUAAAAAAUUAAUUCAUGCAUAAGUCUCAACUCUUUUUUAAUGCCUACAGCUCCAAUUCAGGAUUGGAAUGUGAAUCUUGCAAAGCAAAAGUUAUGAGCAGUAUACAACUCAAGCAAGGUACUGCCUUUGUGGCAAUACGACAAGACAUGGCCAAGAAGUAACAAGAGCAGUGUGUGUGAUAAUCAGUAGUAGUUUCUCAUGGUCUCACAUUGUACACCUCUGAGAUUUACAAUGUAAAAGAGGGUAAGAGAAGACAUGGUCUUAGAUUAUAAAUUUAAUUAUAUGUAUGGGGUGGGCAUUUAGCUUAGUGGUUAAGGUGCCUAUGUCUCGCACUGGAGUACCUGGGUUCAAUAUCCAGCUUCAGCUUCGAAUUCCAGCUUCCUCUUAGUGCAGACCUUGGGAGGCAGAGACAGAGAGAGAGAGAGAGAGAAAGGGUCUUCCAUCUGCUGAUUCACUCUCCAAAAGGCCGCAACAGCCAGAGCUGAGCCGAUCCAAAGCCAGGAGCCAGGAGCCUUCUAGAGAUCUCCCACAUGGGUGCAGGGAUCCAAGGACUUGAGCCAUCUUCUACUGCUUUCCCAGACAACAGCAGAGUUGGAUUGGAACUGGACUUGAACUGGCAUCCAUAUGGGAUUGGUGGCUCCACCUGUUACACCACAACACCGGACCCAAAUGAUUGGGUUUCUGUCAUCCAUAUGGGAGAGCUGGAUUGCAUUCCUGGCUUCCAGUUUUGGCUUCUGCCCAGUUUCACCCAUUGCAGGCAUUUGGGAAGUAAACCAGUGAGUGGGAUCUUUUUCCCUUUCUCUCUCAAAUAAACUUUGAAUUUGAAAACUAAAAAAGGGGCAGGCACUGUGGCAUGGUGGGUGAAGCUGCCACCUGCAGUUGCUGGCAUCCCAUUUGGGUGCCAGUUCGAGUCCCAGCUGCUUCACUUCCAAUCCAGCUCUCUGCUAUGGCCUACGAAGGCAGUAGAAAAUGGCCCAAGUGCUUGGAUUACUGCACCCAUGUGGGAGACCCAGAAGAAGCUCCAGGCUUCUGGCUUUGGAUCAGUACAGCUCCAGCUGUUGCAGCCAUCUGGGGAGUGAACCAACAGAUGGAAGACCUCUCUCUCUCUCUCUCUCUCUGCCUCUGGAACUCUGCCUUUCAAAUAAAUAAAUAAAUAAAUAAAUCUUUUUUUAAAAAAAGAAAACUAAAUAAAUUGUAUGUAUUACACUGUCUGUAGACAUUGGAAUCUUCUUACCAAAUCACAGCCUUUUCAGUGUCUGAAAAGGACUUUAGGUCUUAUCUCCUCAAUCAAUUAUGGAUGCUUGUGCCAUCGAUCCCACAUUCCCUUCAGAUGCUUAUUCCACCAAUACCACCUUCCUUUUUCUGCCCUUCCAACAGUGUAUCAGUUAUUUUUUGCUACAUAAUGAAUUAACAUAAAACCUAGGCACUUAAAACAACAGUAAUGAGUAGCUUGCGACUCUAGGUUUUUGCACUGUGAACUGGGCUCAGCUAGGUGGUUCUUCUGUUACUUAUGAGACUACAAAGAGCCAAUGGGUCAGCCAGAAAUCAGUUGAUCAUGGAUAGCCCCACGCACAUGACUGGUGGUUGGCUAUGGUGCAGCGGCAACUGGCCCAUGUGUCUGCACCAUCUAGCAUGCUAUCUCAACUUUUUAUUGGGUUCUGGGUUCCAAAAUCAGUCAAAGAGGGCAGCAUCCAAUGCACACACUAUGUCCAAGCCUUUGUUUGAGUCAUGCUUGAUAAUGCAUCUUUGACUAAAGCAAGUCACAUGACCAUGCUCAUAUUCAUUUGUUUUUAUUCUGAGAUUGGGUUCCCAUCCCAAUCAUUUCAUGUGGGAUCUUCCUAGUAUUCAAUCUUGACUGAAAACAAAUAGAAGGGGAGACAAUUACAGGCCGAUAAGCAUGAAGGAACAAAAAAACCUCUUGAGGGAAGUGAGAAUUCAUACUAAAGGAGAAUCAAAAGAUUGCCCAUGUUAGUGAGCCAGUGAUAAGGGAUGGAAUAAUCUCAGCACAACUUUUCACCUUUAAAAGAAACUGAGGUGGGGCUAGUGCUGUGGCUUAGUGAGCUAAGCCUCUACCUGCGAUGCCAGAAUCCUAUAUGGGCCCUGGCUAGAGUCCCAUCUGCUCCUCUUCCAAUCUAGCUCUCUGCUAUGGCCGGGAAAGCUGGAGAAGAUGGUCCAGGUGCUUGGGCCCCUGCACCUGUGUGGGAGACCCAGAGGAAGAUCCAUGCUUCGGAUUGGCUCAGCUCCAACUGUUCUAGCCAUCUGAGGAGUGAACAAGCAGAUGGAAGACCUUUCUCUCUGUCUCUCCUUCUCUCUGUAAUCCUGUUUAUCAAAUAAAUUAAAAAAAAAAAGGAACAACAAAGAAACUGAGGCACAACUCAAUUAGAAAAUGAAAAGUUUAUUUGGGCUUAUUUAGUGCUGCAAUCCAGGAAGGUAAAAACCCAAGCAAUCUUGAAUUUGUGCUCUGAGGUCUUAACAGAUUUUAAACAGGUCUUGAAGGCAAAGCCUGAAAGUAGGGAGGCACAGUACGUGAAUUGUUUGCUAAGAAUUUAGAUUGGUGCAAGGAUAGCACACUGUCUCGGAAACAGGGCAUUGAAUAACUAAGGAGUGCACUCUCAGAAAGGGAAGGAAGAAAAGACAAGAAAUCUCUGGGAAAGGAAGGUCUGAGAGACCAGACAACCCUGAUGGGAUAUUCCACUUUAUGUAACUUUCAGUACAUAAAUCACAGGAUGUAGAGAAUUCUGGAUCAGCGAGGCUCUGCAUGUGCUGGGAAGUGUAUGUUUCCCUGAGCUGUGUGUGAUUUCAGCCGGAUCCCCGUGUCCUCUGGCCUAAGGUGUUUGCAGUACCUCUGUCUGCAUAGUCUUUUGAUUUUUCUUAUGUCUACAGAAACUUUGACCACCCUACAGAUGGUCCCAGUCCUGCCUCCAUGAUCUACACCCAAAACCUGAGGAGAAAUGGCUACAGUUAGAACAAAACAGGGUUUCAAUGAUGUUUCUAGGGAAGACACACAGGGCUUUAGAGGUCAAUAGGAACUUUCCUCAUUAGGGUCUGCUCUUGGAAUUCAGAAGGGAAGAGUGGCUGAGCAGGGGUAUGGGUUGACUCUACUUUGGAAUCAUAAAUGAUGUGGGAGAGACCACCCAGGCCUCUAACCCAGACCUUGAUGGAAUGUCCAAGAGGAACUUGCAGCCUUAACAGGCCAAGGCAGGGACAGGGUUCAUUCUCAAGUGGACGUGAGACACCCUCUCAGGCCUCCCACAAUGGAAAGUAGAAAAGUGAGAGAACUGAAGCUUAAUGGACAAGCGAGGUUGGGGCUGGAGAAAUGUUUUGUUGCUGCUGACUGUUAUCUUGAACCUAUUUCUAGCUUCUGGCUGUUGGGACUUGAGGACCACAGGUUGGACAAGUUCCCUACAAACGAACCCUGCCAUUUUAACUCAGUUCCAGGCAAAAAUUGUCCAUGGUAGUUCAGUUUUGAUGUGCGCCAACCUCCCACAUAGAUUCUCUGUUUUUCUUUCUUGUUCUUAUCUUCUUUAUUUUAUUUACCAUUAAAAAUUUCCAUUAUUUGACUAGUAAAUCCCUCCAGGCUUAAUUUAUUUCCCUGGCCUAGGAAUAUCUGCAUUUUGAAAGGAGACUUCUGAUGACUCAAACGCACUCUAGAUCGAAAGGAAUAAAUCCCUACAAGAAAUUUCAGAUGGGAGAUGCAGAAAGAGCAGGAGAAUCAUGCUCUGAGCAGAGUCCACCAAGAGCACUCCAUGGGUAGCAGUAGGGCAUGGCUGUCUCUGUGCCUCCAGGAACUGGGAGGAACAAAGGAAUGUGAAGAGGAGGAUUCACUGAUGCUGGAAGAGAAGAUAAUGAACUUUUAUUCAGUGUUUCAUUAUGAAAGUUCAAAUAUACAGAAAAUUUGGAAGAAUUUAACACUAUGGCCGGUGCCGCGGCUCACUAGGCUAAUCCUCUGCCUUUGCGGCACCGGCACACCGGGUUCUAGUCCUGGUCGGGGCGCCGGAUUCUGUCCGGUUGCUCCUCUUCCAGGCCAGCUCUCUGCUGUGGCCCGGGAGUGCAGUGGAGGAUGGCCCAAGUGCUUGGGCCCUGCACCUGCAUGGGAGACCAGGAGAAGCACCUGGCUCCUGCCUUCGGAUCAGCGCGGUGCACUGGCCGCAGUGCGCCGGCCACAGCAGCCAUUGUGGGGUGAACCAACGGAAAAAGGAAGACCUUUCUCUCUGUCUCUCUCACUCACUGUCCACUCUGCCUGUCAAAACAAACAAACAAACAAAAAACAAAAAACAAACAAACAAAAAAAAACCACUAAGCAUGCAUGUACCCACCACCUGGAUUCUACCAUAAUGUGGUAGUAGCUAUAUCACAUAGCUGUCAUCUGUCAUCCCUAUCCGUCCAUCAAGCCAUCUAAGUUUUCAUACAUUUUCUUUUUUAUUUUAUUUAUCUUUUUAAAAAUAUUUUUUUAUUUGAGAGAUAAGAUUUACAGUGAGAGGGAGAGAGAGAAAGGCCUUCCAUCUAGUGGUUCACUUGCCAAAUGGCUGCAACGGCUGGAGCUGGGCUGAUCCGAAGCCAGGAGCCAGGUGCCUCUUCCAGGUCUCCCACAUGGGUGCAGAGGCCCAAGCACUCGGGUCAUCUUCUACUGCUUUCUCAGGCCACAGCGGAGAGCUGAACUGGAAGAGGAGCAGCUGGGAUUCGAACCAGUGCCCAUAUGGGAUGCCAGUGCCACAGGUGGAGGAUUAACCUACUGCACCACAGCGCCGGCCUAUUUUUGAUACAUUUUAAAGUGAGUUGCAGCUCCUGCCUCAGAAUCAACCCUUGGGACAUUCGGAUCUGACUAAAAGGUCCGUGAGAGUCUCACAGGCAUGGAAAGCCAUGACAAGGUGGCAAAAAACAAUCUACAUGAAAGAUCCUGGUGAACAAGACCCCAGCAGAAGGAUCAGGCCAUCAAGGAGAGAGGCGCCUUUCUCUGAAGGGAGGAAGGAACCUCCACUGUGAUACGACCUUGACUAAACAAAUUCAGAGUUGGUGAACUCAAGGGGCUUCCAUAGCCUAGACAGCUCAUAGCAAGAGUCUUGGGUGAUUGCUGACAUCAUAAAUAAGAGUGCCAAUUGUUAAAUCAACAACGGGAGUCACUGGGUUCAUGCUCCCCACGCAGGAUCUCUGUCCUUAAUAUGUUUAACUAUGAAACUCAAAAACAACACUACUAGUCGAACAAUACCCUAUACCUGGUUCGGUUGUGUGAGUGCAGUCUGUUGAAAUCCCUGGUUAGUAUAUACUAAGUUGAUCUUCAGUAUAUGAAGGUAAUUGAAAAUGAAA
Molecule: non-coding RNA, 6938 nt
Organism: Oryctolagus cuniculus (rabbit)
Lineage: Eukaryota; Metazoa; Chordata; Mammalia; Lagomorpha; Leporidae
Source: RefSeq, a predicted model, not a curated record